AACGAACGCUGGCGGCAUGCCUAACACAUGCAAGUCGAACGAGACCUUCGGGUCUAGUGGCGCACGGGUGCGUAUCGCGUGGGAACCUGCCCUUAGGUUCGGAAUAACUCCCCGAAAGGGGUGCUAAUACCGGAUAAUGUCUUCGGACCAAAGAUUUAUCGCCUUUGGAUGGGCCCGCGUUGGAUUAGCUAGUUGGUAGGGUAAAAGCCUACCAAGGCGACGAUCCAUAGCUGGUCUGAGAGGAUGAUCAGCCACACUGGGACUGAGACACGGCCCAGACUCCUACGGGAGGCAGCAGUGGGGAAUAUUGGACAAUGGGCGAAAGCCUGAGCCAGCAAUGCCGCGUGAGUGAUGAAGGCCUUAGGGUUGUAAAGCUCUUUUACCCGGGAUGAUAAUGACAGUACCGGGAGAAUAAGCUCCGGCUAACUCCGUG
This 433-nucleotide ribosomal RNA is filed under the name uncultured bacterium. RNAcentral's name for it is "partial 16S ribosomal RNA". It matches the Rfam family "Bacterial small subunit ribosomal RNA", at positions 29 to 507 of the family's 1533-position model. The record is from RNAcentral.